Long non-coding RNA from Osmia bicornis bicornis, 2131 nucleotides. RefSeq lists it as uncharacterized. Lineage: Eukaryota; Metazoa; Arthropoda; Insecta; Hymenoptera; Megachilidae. The transcript has 3 exons. The record is from RefSeq and is a predicted model, not a curated record.
AACAGAGAGAAGGUUCAGACGUUAAAACAAAAAAAUACAUGCUUCAGUUUCAGACUUGAAAAGUAGAACUGUCGAGUCAUACUGACGAUGAAUAUGUAACACGAACUGUUUACUCUAUGGAUUGAGUAUGAUCUUUCAAGUAAUCGGGGUCGCGUCUAGAAUUUUGCAGGUCGUUUUAGCAAGAGGAACAUCGCCAUCGUGACGAUGUAACGUAAUUUGCGUGUCAUCAUGAAACGAAGUACAACGAAAGGAUUGGUGAAAGAGAGUGCCCCGGCAGUUAAUCAACCUGCAAAUAAAUGCGGAAGUCGCAGAACGGGUCUACGUAAUAUCCCUGCGGCUGUUGGGCAACUUGAAGCUUUCCACGAUGUUUCUUCUUUUCACAUCGGUUACGAUAUUCGAUCGAUACGCAAUCAGAGAGUAUCGCAUAAGAAGAAAAAGGUUACUAACUAAAAGUCAAUGAAGAUGAACGCAAAUGACCGCUACUAUAGACUUGUUGAAUUAAAAAGUGCAGGAUAAGAAAGAGAGAAAAGAGGAAGAGGGCCUGGUGUACGAUCUUGAAAUCUAAACGAGUGUCGUUUCCUAGAAGGAACCCGGUUUCGACGGCACGUUCUUUAAUUGGACGCACGAGACACACGUCGAGGAUAGUCAGUUAGUCAGACAGGUAGUAGAGCUUUCUUCGCAAACUUUCACUCGUAAGUAAACGACUCCUACACGACACACCGGUAUCUGAGAGAGUUCAAGAACCCUGUCGCGCGCGGACAGUGAAUUCUAGCACAGUGAUUUCCUCGAGAGAGGCUCAUGUAUUCGAGAACGCGGUUGAGAAACAAGUGUAUCAUUACUAGCGGCCACCUUUUUUUUUUUCUCUCUUGUAUUUCUUCUUUUAAAUUGAUUCUCUUACGAAAGUUUCUCGUACUACUUCAAGAUUUUCUUUUUGGUUUCUUAUGAAAAAGUGUUUGGUAAGUUUUAGAGUUGUUAUACAGGACGAUUCAGAAUGAAGCGUAACAAACUCUGUUUUCAUCUUAUACAUAUAUGCCAUUUUAUAAAUCUCCCUAGCUCUUAACCCCCGAAGGACCGAAUUUCAAGUUGAGUCGGAUUGAGAGUCGAUCCAAAGUAGAUUUCCGCUGAUAGGAAAUUAUUCUUAGCAUCCCUUUUCUACGUUAUCAGAUUCAGUUCGCCGAGACACUUGAAUUCUAUAAAAAGGCACAUCCGGGAAAUCAUUGAUUCGAUCGAGAAAAAAAACGAAAGGAACGACAAAAGCGUCAAGGUCUCGGAGAUGGAAAUGAAUUCAGGAGACCCGAUGUGUUAUCGUACGAUCGAUUGGUCCAACUACGGAGGAUGUCAAGAACGGUUGAUAAAAAAAUUAGACGCGUCAUUCGUGGAUGGCAAAUAAAUAAAUAUCAAUUGAAAUUUUCUCACGAUUCGAUCGCGAGUAUAUGUACAUCUUUUUUGAUUCGAUCUGUAUACGUCGGCGCAUACUCUAAUCAUUAGAGUCGAGUGUAAUGCAAUCACAGAGACGUCUGGACUCGACUUCUGGGGAGGUGGAACGAACCACGCGUUUCCUAAUUAUACCAGCAUUUCAAAAUCUCCCCAGCCGAUGAACCAAUAUGCUUUUCUGGCUUGCAACAUUUCCCCCGCGUGUCUCUCUCCUCUCUUGUAUGUAUCUCGUUGAUCUUUCCUUCUCGCUUCUCCUUAUUCUACGCGCGGGAGCAGUUCGUCAAGCGACAGGAAUGCGAGCGCAACGCGUGAUUAGCCAACUCUGAGCCGACACACGAAACGGUCUCUCGUAAGCUCUUAUCAUUGUUCGCGCCAACAGUCACGUUCAACCGCGAGAACACACCUUACGAAUAGCUCGACGUGGCGUGGCGCGAUCCGUUCGUUCCUUGAAUUCAUUUCAAUUGCGUUCUAUCCAACCAAGAGAUGCAACCCUUUCCUGGAGGUGACACGAUGAUACGAGGAAUGGAAUUCUAGCCAGUAGGGCUUUUGUCGUUUGAUAACCAACUGUCGUGUCAGCAUCAUCGGGCUGUGGCUACUAUCACAGUAUUUUCAGAUCUCUUAGCACAACCCCAUACUCGUGACACGUAGCCACGGCCCUGGCGGCUUGCCGGAAAAGCCGCCUCGCCUCCGGUUCCCG